GCCCUUGUAGCUCAGCUGGUAGAGCAACCGCCUUGUAAGCGGUAGGUCGCGGGUUCAAUUCCUGCCGGGGGCACCA
This 76-nucleotide transfer RNA is filed under the name Pararhizobium mangrovi. Its description in RNAcentral is "Pararhizobium sp. BGMRC6574 tRNA-Thr". It matches the Rfam family "tRNA". Rfam says of the family: Transfer RNA (tRNA) molecules are approximately 80 nucleotides in length. Lineage: Bacteria; Pseudomonadati; Pseudomonadota; Alphaproteobacteria; Hyphomicrobiales; Rhizobiaceae. The record is from RNAcentral.